RNAcentral lists this ribosomal RNA (1265 nucleotides) under metagenome. RNAcentral's name for it is "bacterial SSU rRNA". It matches the Rfam family "Bacterial small subunit ribosomal RNA", at positions 8 to 1246 of the family's 1533-position model. The record is from RNAcentral.
AGGGUAUGAUGCUGUCUCAGAACGAACGCUGGCGGCGUGGACUAGGCAUGCAAGUCGCACGGGAAAUCUGAUCUCGAUCGGAGAGUAAAGUGGCGAAAGGGUGAGUAAUGCUUCGAUAACCUGCCUUCGAUACUGGCACAACCAAUCGAAAGUUUGGCUAAUUCCGGAUACGUUCCCAGGCUUCAUGGUUUGGGAAGAAAGACGGGGAUCCUCAAAAGGGACCUGUCGCUCGUAGAGGGGUCGAAGUCGUAUCAGCUUGUUGGUGAGGUAAUGGCUCACCAAGGCUUGGACGCGUACGGGGCCUGAGAGGGUGUUCCCGCACACUGGGACUGAGACACUGCCCAGACUCCUACGGGAGGCUGCAGUCGAGAGUCUUGCACAAUGGACGAAAGUCUGAUGCAGCGACGCCGCGUGGAGGAUGAAGGCCUUCGGGUUGUAAACUCCUGUUGGGGGGUAAGAUGGAAGAGAGUGUUAAUAUCAUUCUCUUUUGACCUAAACCCCUGAGGAAGCCACGGCUAACUCCGUGCCAGCAGCCGCGGUAAGACGGAGGUGGCGAGCGUUGUUCGGAAUCACUGGGCUUAAAGGGCACGCAGGCGGUUAAGUGUGUCCGGUGUGAAAUCCCUCGGCUCAACCGAGGAACUGCGCCGGAAACUACUUGACUUGAGGAUUGGAGAGGUGAGUGGAACUCCAGGUGUAGCGGUGAAAUGCGUAGAUAUCUGGAGGAACGCCGGAGGCGAAAGCGACUCACUGGACAAUUCCUGACGCUGAGGUGCGAAAGCCAGGGGAGCGAACGGGAUUAGAUACCCUGGUAGUCCACGCCGUAAACGAUGUCAACUAGCCGUUGGAUCCAUUUAAGGGUUUAGUGGCGCAGCUAACGCGAUAAGUUGACCGCCUGGGGAGUACGGCCGCAAGGUUAAAGCUCAAAGGAAUUGACGGGGGCCCGCACAAGCGGUGGAGCAUGUGGUUUAAUUCGAUGCAACGCGAAGAACCUUACCAGCCCUUGACAUCCUAGGGAUCCUGCAGAGAUGUGGGAGUGCCUUCGGGAGCCUAGAGACAGGUGCUGCAUGGCUGUCGUCAGCUCGUGUCGUGAGAUGUUGGGUUAAGUCCCGUAACGAGCGCAACCCUUGUCCUUAGUUGCCAGCGGUUCGGCCGGGAACUCUAAGGAGACUGCCGGUGAUAAACCGGAGGAAGGUGGGGAUGACGUCAAGUCAUCAUGGCCCUUAUCGGCUGGGCUACACACGUGCUACAAUGGUCGGUACAGAGGG